CGCCUGUUUAUCAAAAACAUGUCUUUUUGUUAAUUAUUUAAGGUUUGGCCUGCUCCAUGAUGAAUUAAAUAGCCGCAGUAUUUUGACUGUGCAAAGGUAGCAUAAUCAUUAGUUUUUUAAUUGAAAGCUGGAAUGAAGGGUCGGAUGAGGAAGUUUCUGUCUCAUUCUAAUUUGUUUGAAUUUUAUUUUUAAGUUAAAAAGCUUAAAUUUUAUAGAAAGACGAGAAGACCCUAUAGAGUUUAAUAGAUUCGAUUUCUAGGCAUUUAAGGGUUUUAAUUUGUCUGGUGUUUAAUUUAUUUUGUUGGGGUGACAUUAGAAUUGGGUUAACUUCUGUUUGUUUUAACACUGAUUGGUGAUUAAUUGAUCCUGGGAUCUGGAUUAAAAGAACAAAUUACCUUAGGGAUAACAGCGUAAUUUUUUUGGAGAGUUCUUAUCGAUAAAAGGGAUUGCGACCUCGAUGUUGGAUUAAAGUUAAGUCUUGGUGUAGAAGCUGAGAAUUUA
This 501-nucleotide ribosomal RNA is filed under the name Spastonyx nemognathoides. RNAcentral's name for it is "partial large subunit ribosomal RNA". It matches the Rfam family "Bacterial large subunit ribosomal RNA", at positions 1797 to 2572 of the family's 2925-position model. The record is from RNAcentral. Lineage: Eukaryota; Metazoa; Arthropoda; Insecta; Coleoptera; Meloidae.